Molecule: long non-coding RNA, 3142 nt
Filed under: Homo sapiens (human)
Lineage: Eukaryota; Metazoa; Chordata; Mammalia; Primates; Hominidae
Description: HSALNT0396721
Source: RNAcentral
GAGAUUCUGAAUCUCAAAACCAAUGAAAGUUUCAAAAGUUGAAAAAUUGACUUUCAUCCUUGAAUCCAGUGUACAAGUAAGCUGGUAACUCUCAGACCAAGAUUCAGCACCCCUGAGACUUGAGAAACCGUGAGUCCACUAAGGAGACACAGUCUAGAGGAUGGAUGGAAGGUCUCAUACACAGAUCAAGUCCACAGUUGAGAUUGUUAUUUGCCUCUUCUCUUCUGCCUGGGCACUGCCAAAGAAAAAAGGAGAUUGUAGCAAUUCACUGGACCCAGAACCUAGUUGAGGGAGCAUUGUGACAUGCCACUGGGCUCAGCACCCAGGUGAUGUUCCUCUCCUGCCUGGUCCCUUCCAUCAGGGAAUAUUGUACAAAUCUCUGGCCAAGCACCCAGUUGAUGUGACUCUCCUGCUCACUACCUACUCACAGGUUACAUGUCCCAUGUCGCAGAAAAUGUUGUAAUGUAUUGCUGGACCCAGUCACCAGAUGAUGUGUCUCUCCUGCCAAGGCUGUGCCCACAGAGAGCAUUUUGACAUAUCACUGGGCUCAGCACCCAGGUGAAAUGACUCUGCUGCCUGUACUCUGCUUUAAGAGGGGAUUGUAAUAUAUCUGUGGCUGAGCACCUAGGUGAGAUGACUUCUGCGUGGUUUCUGACCUCAGGAAAGAUUGUGACAUAUCUUUGCCGAAAACCUACAUGAUGUGAAUCUGCUGCUCACUUCCUACCGACAGGAGGGAUUGAGACAAUUCUGGAAGCCCAGCACCUAGGUGAUGUGACUUUCAUCUUUUGUUUGGACCGUGUGCACAAAAGGAAGAGUGGCUUAUCACUGGACCUCACACACAGGAGGUAUUGUGACAUAUUCCUGGAGCAAGUACCCAGGUAAUGUAACUCUUUUCUACUGCUUGGACUCUACCCAAGGAGAGAUUCUAAUGUAUCACUGGACCCAGCACCUAGGUUACGUGACUUUCCUCUUGUGUCUGAGUCUUGCAUAAAUUGUGUAUUGUGACAAAUCUCUGGGUCUAAAACCUAGGUGAUGAGACUCUUAUGCAUGAGCCCUGCUUACAGGGAUAUUAUGACAUAUCUUUUUUUUUUAAUCACCUAUGUGAUGUGCCUUUGUUUGUGUGUGUGUGUGUGUGUGCGUCCUGGCCCUGCCAAAAGUGGGGAUUGUAACAUAUCAUUAAACUUAGUACCAAGGUGUUAUGACUCACCUUGUUUGCCUGGGCCCUGCAUAUAUUUGGUAAUGUGACGUAUGGCUGAGACAAACACCUAGGGCAUGAGAGCCUUGUGCCUGGGUCCUGCCCACAAGGAGCCUUUUGGCUUAUCUCUGCAUCCAUGAACUAGGAGAUGUGACUCUUCUUUUCUGUCUGGGUUCUGCAAAAACAAGUGAUUGUGACAUAUCAUCAAACCCAGCAACUAGACGAUGUGAUUUUUCUUCCCUGCUUGAGCCCUGGAUAUGCUGUGCAUUGUGAUAUAUGGCUGGGUCCAACAUCAAGGAGAGAUUGUGACAUAUCUCUGGAACCAGAACCUUGGUGAUGUGACUCUUCUCUCCUGCUGAAGCCAUGCCCACACAAGGGAAAGUGACUUAUCACUGGGCCCAGCACACAGCGCUAUUCACAGGGAAAAUAGUGACACAUCUGUGGGGUUCUCACCGAAAUGAUGUGACUCUCUUGCCUGGGCUCACCUCUCAAGGGAAUUUUGACAUAUUACUGGACCAAGCACCUAGGCCCUGCAUUUAUUGUGUAUUGUGACAUAUGGCUUGGUCCAACACCUAGGUGGUGUGACUCUCUACUUCUUCCUGUGCCAUGCCAAAGAAGAGGAUUGUGACAUAUCACUGGAUCCAGCACCUAGGAUGCAUAUGCCAGAUUUCCAGGCCCAUCACCUAGAUGAUGAGACUCUCCUCUUCUUUCUGGGACCAAUACACAGUGGGAAUUGUGAUGCAUCGUUUAGCUCAGCAGCUACAUGAUGUGACCCUCUUCUCAUGAGAUUCCUGCCCACUUGGGUAAUUGCAACAUAUAAUGUAGCCGAGUUUCUAGGAUACCUGACUCUUCUCUUAUUCCUGAGACUUACACAGAAUCGGCAACAUCUCUGAUCUUCUCACCUAGGAGACAUGACCCAAAAAGGGAUUAUGACAUAUCUCUGAGCCCAACACCCAAAUGUUGUGACUCUCCUGCCUGGGCUGUGCCUAGAGAAAAUAUAAUAUGUCACUGGGCCCUGCAUGCAAGUGAUCUGAUUCUCCAGCCUGGGCCUUGCCCACAGGGGAGAUUGAGACAUAUUCCAGGUGGAUGGUGACUCUAAGACCAGGAUUCAACACAACUAGAAGGCUUUGACUCUAAUACGAGUCACAGAAGGCUCUGCGACUCUUCUAUUUUCUCUAGGUUAUGCAAAUGGAGGUGGAUUGUGACAUAUCAUAGGGCCAACACAACACACAGUCUACAGGUGGAAUUGGGACUCUCAUGCAUGGAUCCAGUUCAUCAUUGAUACUGUGACUCAGGUGGGAUUUUGACAUAUAACUGCACCCAGCACACAGGUGAGAUUGUGACUCUUGUAUGCUCAUCCUGCCAAAAGUUGAGUGUCACCCUCACACAUGGACAGAGACUUCUGUGGUCCAUUACAUUGAUGACAUUAUGCUGAUUGAAUCCAGUAAGCAAGAAAUAGCAAACACACCAGACUUAUUCAUGAGACGUUUGCAUGCCAGAGGAUGGAAAAUAAGUCUGACUAAAAUUUAGAGACCUUCUAGCUCAGUAAAACUUCCAGGGGUCCAGUGGUCCAAGGCCUGUCAAGAUAGUCCUUCUAAGGUAAAAGGUAAGUUGCUGCAUUUGGCCCAUCCUACAACCAAGAAAGAGGCACAAUGUCUAGUGGGCCUAUUUGGGUUUUGGAGGCAACCUAUUCCUCAUUUGGGUGUGUUACUCUGGCCCAUUUAUUGAGUGACCCAAAAAGCUGCCAGUUCUGAGUGUGGUCCAGAAAAGGAGAAGGCUCUGCAACAGGUCCAGGCUGCUGUGCAAGCUGCUCUGCCACUUGGGCCAUAUUACCCAGGAGAUCCAAUGGAUCUUGAGUUGUCAGUGUAAAAUAAGGAUGCUAUUUGUAGCCUUUGGCAGGCCCCCUUAGGUGAAUCACAGCAGAGGCCUCUAGAAUUUUGUUCUUUC